AACGAACGCUGGCGGCAUGCCUAACACAUGCAAGUCGAACGAGACCUUCGGGUCUAGUGGCGCACGGGUGCGUAACGCGUGGGAACCUGCCCUUAGGUUCGGAAUAACUCCCCGAAAGGGGUGCUAAUACCGGAUAAUGUCUUCGGACCAAAGAUUUAUCGCCUUUGGAUGGGCCCGCGUUGGAUUAGCUAGUUGGUAGGGUAAAAGCCUACCAAGGCGACGAUCCAUAGCUGGUCUGAGAGGAUGAUCAGCCACACUUGGACUGAGACACGGCCCCAGCUUCCUCGGGAAGCCGGCAGUGGGGAUAAUUGACAAUGGGCGAAAGCCUGAUCCAGCAAUGCCGCGUGAGUGAUGAAGGCCUUAGGGUUGUAAAGCUCUUUUACCCGGGAUGAUAAUGACAGUACCGGGAGAAUAAGCUCCGGCUAACUCCGUG
RNAcentral lists this ribosomal RNA (433 nucleotides) under uncultured bacterium. Its description in RNAcentral is "partial 16S ribosomal RNA". It matches the Rfam family "Bacterial small subunit ribosomal RNA", at positions 29 to 507 of the family's 1533-position model. The record is from RNAcentral.